UCUGAUCAUUAUUAGCUUGCAUUGUCCGUACAAUUCCACCAGGAUCUGGAGGUAGAAUCAGGAUCACCACAACGCUUCCAAAUAGACUUGGUAAAAUGAUUGCCCAUCUACAUUGGCAUGAUUACAAGAAGAAGUACGGGAAGCUUGAUGAGUUUGUCUCCAGCCAUCCUGAAUUAUUUGUAAUUGAUGGAGACUACAUACAACUUCGAGAAGGUGCACAAGAAAUCAUAGCAGCUAC
This is a non-coding RNA of Coffea arabica (coffee), 238 nucleotides long. Lineage: Eukaryota; Viridiplantae; Streptophyta; Magnoliopsida; Gentianales; Rubiaceae. The record is from RefSeq and is a predicted model, not a curated record.